AAACAUUCAACGAGAUAAGUUCAUGGGCAUAGGGAUAGAUCUUUACCGGAAUAACCUCCAGGUUUGACCUACUAAUGUCAAGGUUCGCAGUAAUUUUUUUUUCAGAGAAUUUACGCAAUACAUCCGCUCCAAUAUCCAUCGUAGUAAACACCAAUCUAGCAACACUAUAAUUAUCUUCUUCAUUUAUUUCUUCAUCGGAAGUUACCUUACACCCAAACAAACUCAAUAAUCGUUCAAAUAUAAUGCAUGGCUGUUCAUGAGGCAACAAAAUACGUUCUGUAUUGAAUUGGAUUAAUAAGAGGUAAAAAUUAGCAGACGAGGGAAGAAAAAAUAACCUUGCUAACAGCUUAAUCACUUCAUGAGUUUGUAUGCCAAUAGGGCAAAUGAAUGAUACGGAAGUUCGAUCAUCACGGUAUACUCGAAGAAAGAACUCUUUCUUUCUAUUGCCCAGGGAAGGACGAGCAAAAAAUCUAGUAGUAAAAACCUGCUUUGGAAUAGCCUCAGUGGGCAAACUAGUUCCCCAACUCUCCGGAGCUUUCCAAGAAUCAUCGGAUAAAAUGGAAGGGUACGGUAAAAACUUCUUCCAAGGGCUAUCAUAACUAUCUCUAUGAUAAUCGAGGUCCAGGAUAUGAGCCGCAGAAGCAGGGAUUCCAUCAUCAUCACUAUUCCUGGGUAAUUCGUGUAUGCUACCUUCCAAACUAGCUGGCCAAUUGUUAUUAAGAGAAUCACGUUGAAACUCCACACUGUCACUGUCAUCAGAAAUCGGUUCUGGAAAAGUUAGAUUGGUAAAUGACUGAUUCAGGUUUUUGUCGAAAGAUUCUCUGUCCUUAUCAAUAAGUCUUCGAAGGCCUGCUUCUUUAGAAAUUGCACAAUUAGACGAGUUAUUUUCUUUGUAUGGCUUUAUCCCAGCACUACGGGUAUCACGUGGCACUUCAGACUUUUCAGAGCUUUCUCUUGCAGCUAAGGCGGUAUCCGAUUUAGUACGUCCCGUGUCAGAUAAGCUAAAGUUCUCAUCCGGUUCAUAAAAAUGGAAAAGCACGCUUUUGCUAGGUACUGCAGGAGUGCUAGGAUAGGUCUUAAAAGCUUCGACAGGUCGUCCAGAAUUACCGACAGGUUGAGUGCAAGGUGAAAGAGCUUCAUGGGAGUCAUUACAGAGAUUUGCUUCGGUUAUUUCUGGUAUAUCAUAGUUCACAGACGUCGCUGAGUCAUCGUCCUUCUCGUCAAGGUCAUCAAGCCAGGAUAUACCUGUUUUAAAAUGUUCAGGCGGGUUUGGAACAGCUGACUUUAACAAUCGCUUGCUUUGAUCCAUUAGUGGCAAUUUGCAUCCUUCCUAAGAAUCUGUAGCACCUUCGUUUCAAAAAUACCACUAUACGCGAAUUUUGGACAAGGAAAAUUCAAUAAUGGUUAUAUCCCUAUCC
Molecule: non-coding RNA, 1418 nt
Organism: Schizosaccharomyces pombe (fission yeast)
Lineage: Eukaryota; Fungi; Ascomycota; Schizosaccharomycetes; Schizosaccharomycetales; Schizosaccharomycetaceae
Source: the annotation of a GenBank genome assembly